This 303-nucleotide ribosomal RNA is filed under the name Triticum aestivum (bread wheat). RNAcentral's name for it is "partial small subunit ribosomal RNA". Lineage: Eukaryota; Viridiplantae; Streptophyta; Magnoliopsida; Poales; Poaceae. The record is from RNAcentral.
UUGCUCAAGUUGGACAUCAAGAAGGCUUUUGAUUCAGUUAGAUGGGAAUAUCUUCUCGACCUGUUGCAGAGGAGAGGUUUUCCUUCGAGGUUUCGUGAGUAGAUCACGGCCCUUCUUCGGACGUCUACAUCGAGGGUUCUUCUCAACGGUGUUCCUGGCAAUCCUAUCCAGCAUGGGCAGGGCCUCCGGCAGGGGGACCCAGUGUCUCCCCUUCUGUUUGUCCUUGCUAUUGAUGUUGGGGAUCGUAGCAGAAUUCAAAAAAAAUUCUACGCAUCACCAAGAUCCAUCUAUGGAGUAUACUAG